GCGGCGUGCCUAAUACAUGCAAGUAGAACGCUGAAGGAGGAGCUUGCUCUUCUGGAUGAGUUGCGAACGGGUGAGUAACGCGUAGGUAACCUGCCUGGUAGCGGGGGGUAACUAUUGGAAACGAUAGCUAAUACCGCAUAAGAGUAGAUGUUGCAUGACAUUUGCUUAAAAGGUGCAAUUGCAUCACUACCAGAUGGACCUGCGUUGUAUUAGCUAGUUGGUGGGGUAACGGCUCACCAAGGCGACGAUACAUAGCCGACCUGAGAGGGUGAUCGGCCACACUGGGACUGAGACACGGCCCAGACUCCUACGGGAGGCAGCAGUAGGGAAUCUUCGGCAAUGGACGGAAGUCUGACCGAGCAACGCCGCGUGAGUGAAGAAGGUUUUCGGAUCGUAAAGCUCUGUUGUAAGAGAAGAACGAGUGUGAGAGUGGAAAGUUCACACUGUGAC
Molecule: ribosomal RNA, 450 nt
Filed under: Streptococcus sp. oral taxon 064
Lineage: Bacteria; Bacillati; Bacillota; Bacilli; Lactobacillales; Streptococcaceae
Description: bacterial SSU rRNA
Rfam family: Bacterial small subunit ribosomal RNA
Source: RNAcentral